Molecule: ribosomal RNA, 654 nt
Filed under: uncultured Pseudomonadota bacterium
Lineage: Bacteria; Pseudomonadati; Pseudomonadota
Description: bacterial SSU rRNA
Rfam family: Bacterial small subunit ribosomal RNA
Source: RNAcentral
CAGGAAGAAGCUUGCUUCUUUGCUGACGAGUGGCGGACGGGUGAGUAAUGUCUGGGAAACUGCCUGAUGGAGGGGGAUAACUACUGGAAACGGUAGCUAAUACCGCAUAACGUCGCAAGACCAAAGAGGGGGACCUUCGGGCCUCUUGCCAUCGGAUGUGCCCAGAUGGGAUUAGCUUGUUGGUGGGGUAACGGCUCACCAAGGCGACGAUCCCUAGCUGGUCUGAGAGGAUGACCAGCCACACUGGAACUGAGACACGGUCCAGACUCCUACGGGAGGCAGCAGUGGGGAAUAUUGCACAAUGGGCGCAAGCCUGAUGCAGCCAUGCCGCGUGUAUGAAGAAGGCCUUCGGGUUGUAAAGUACUUUCAGCGGGGAGGAAGGGAGUAAAGUUAAUACCUUUGCUCAUUGACGUUACCCGCAGAAGAAGCACCGGCUAACUCCGUGCCAGCAGCCGCGGUAAUACGGAGGGUGCAAGCGUUAAUCGGAAUUACUGGGCGUAAAGCGCACGCAGGCGGUUUGUUAAGUCAGAUGUGAAAUCCCCGGGCUCAACCUGGGAACUGCAUCUGAUACUGGCAAGCUUGAGUCUCGUAGAGGGGGGUAGAAUUCCAGGUGUAGCGGUGAAAUGCGUAGAGAUCUGGAGGAAUACCGGUGGC